GACGAACGCUGGCGGCGUGGAUUAGGCAUGCAAGUCGAACGGUAUCAUCCUUUCGGGGGUGAGAGAGUGGCGAACUGGUGAGUAACACGUAGGUUAUCUACCCUCAAGACGGGGACAACCCAGGGAAACUUGGGCUAAUACCGGAUGUGAGCAACUUUUAGUUGUUUGAAAGGUGGCGUAAGCUGUCGCUUGGGGAUGAGCCUGCGUCCUAUUAGUUAGUUGGUGAGGUAACGGCUCACCUAGGCAAUGAUAGGUAGGCGGCCUUAACGGGUGGUCGCCCACACUGGGAUUGAGAUACGGCCCAGACUCCUACGGGAGGCAGCAGUCGAGAAUAGUCUACAAUGGUCGGAAGACUGAUAGUGCGACGCCGCGUGAACGAUGAAUCCCUUCGGGGUGUAAAGUUCUUUUAUAUGUGAGCAGUGCUUCUUAUAUUAACAGUAUGGGGAAGAGAUAUUAGCAUAUGAAUAAGCAACGGCUAACUCCGUGCCCAGCAGCCGCGGUAAUA
RNAcentral lists this ribosomal RNA (505 nucleotides) under uncultured bacterium. RNAcentral describes it as "bacterial SSU rRNA". It matches the Rfam family "Bacterial small subunit ribosomal RNA", at positions 28 to 525 of the family's 1533-position model. The record is from RNAcentral.